Molecule: long non-coding RNA, 948 nt
Organism: Mauremys reevesii (Reeves's turtle)
Lineage: Eukaryota; Metazoa; Chordata; Testudines; Geoemydidae
Exons: 3
Source: RefSeq, a predicted model, not a curated record
GUGGCAAAGCCUUGCACGUGUGAGGUCCUUUGCAGGUGGAGCAGGAAGGAGGAGACCCUCGGGUUUAAAAUCAUUGGCGGGGGCGCAGGCUUGCAUGGAAUAAAAAGAUUGAGCCGGAUGGGGAGAUGAGAGCAGCAACAAUGAAACAUUCCCAGUUCUGAAAUCGAUUUUUCUAAAGGUCGAAUUUAAUCCUGAGUCCACUGACUGUAAAGAGGUAAUUCUAGUGCACUAGCUUGAUUCUUUGGGGAAAGUUGCCACCCUCUAAACCUGAGAACGUGAUGAACCAGAGCUAAGAUUGGUGCUUCACCUGCACCCACCUGAACAGUUCCAGGCUAACAGCAAGAUUGAAGCCUUCAUUCUGUAUCUGCCUUUCCCCUUGUGUGGAUUGUUCUGUCUCUUCCUGCUGUGUUGAAUCUUGCACUUGAACUGGAGUGAGAAGUGGAGGUGUCACUAAUGUGCAAAUACAACUCUUCAAGGGCCUGCAGGCGGCUACGCCGUUCGUUAUGUUAAUACUGGGUUUCUCUACGCACAGCCUUCAUAUUUUACGGCAUGACCUGCUAUUUCUGUGUACGAAUACUUACAAUUGAAGUCUCUAGGAAUGUCUGUACACCGGGGUCUGAUGCCUUUGCCUGUUCCUACGAUGUUUGCUAUGUGAAAACACCAACUGCUCUUAGGAGUCCUCUGAUCGUGAAGAUUUACUCCAGCCACGGUGUCCUGUGAAAAAUCCCCCUACAAAAUCUCUGGGAGCUGCUGUUUUUGGCUAGGACUCUGGGCUGAACCUAAUCCUGGGAAUGUAGGCCAGUCAGUGCAACAGCAGGUCCCGUCUUCCCGCAACUGCAUUUGAAAGGCAAAGACAAGGAUCAUGCAGAGAUAUCGUUAUCUCUCUUUAACAUCCUAAUGGAAUACAUGGCUUGCUAACUUUGAUCAUCUGAUUUGGGCUGAAUAUCA